AAAUUACAUUGUGCGCUUGGUCCACACUAUGGACUGUAGAGCGCUUUAAUCCUCUCAACUUCACAGAACAAACAUUCACCAUUGGAUGCUCUGCCAUUUACUUUGAUAGUGAGAAAGGAUCUAAAAUACCUACGAAAGAAAUUGAACUCAUGUAGUUGUGAAUUUGAACUAAUCUGCUUACACUGAUUUCUGUUAUAAAUAAAAACCAUGGCUUUGAUUACUCAACAGAGGCAAUCACCUGCUCCUUUUCUAUAUAGACAUCUUGCAAGUCAGUCUUGAUGGACUACUUAAUCCGUGUGCCUCUUUCUUU
RNAcentral lists this long non-coding RNA (310 nucleotides) under Prunus persica (peach). RNAcentral's name for it is "long non-coding RNA (PPER_LNC001253)". Lineage: Eukaryota; Viridiplantae; Streptophyta; Magnoliopsida; Rosales; Rosaceae. The record is from RNAcentral.